Molecule: ribosomal RNA, 250 nt
Filed under: uncultured bacterium
Lineage: Bacteria
Description: partial 16S ribosomal RNA
Rfam family: Bacterial small subunit ribosomal RNA
Source: RNAcentral
ACGUAGGUGGCGAGCGUUAUCCGGAAUUAUUGGGCGUAAAGGGUGCGCAGGCGGUUUGAAAAGUUUAAGGUGAAAGCGUGGGGCUUAACCCCAUACAGCCUUAGAAACUGUCAGACUAGAGUACAGGAGAGGGCAAUGGAAUUCCAUGUGUAGCGGUAAAAUGCGUAGAUAUAUGGAGGAACACCAGUGGCGAAGGCGGUUGCCUGGCCUGUAACUGACGCUCAUGCACGAAAGCGUGGGGAGCAAAUAG